This 794-nucleotide ribosomal RNA is filed under the name uncultured archaeon. RNAcentral describes it as "bacterial SSU rRNA". It matches the Rfam family "Archaeal small subunit ribosomal RNA", at positions 85 to 878 of the family's 1478-position model. The record is from RNAcentral.
ACUGCUCAGUAACACGUGGAUAACCUGCCCUUGGGACCGGCAUAACCCCGGGAAACUGGGGAUAAUUCCGGAUAACGCAUAUUUGCUGGAAUGCAUUAUGCGUGAAAUGGAUUCGUCCGCCCAAGGAUGGGUCUGCGGCCUAUCAGGUAGUAGUGGGUGUAAUGUACCUACUAGCCAGCGACGGGUACGGGUUGUGAGAGCAAGAGCCCGGAGAUGGAUUCUGAGACAUGAAUCCAGGCCCUACGGGGCGCAGCAGGCGCGAAAACUUUACAAUGCGGGAAACCGUGAUAAGGGGACACCGAGUGUCAGCAUCAUAUGCUGGCUGUCCAGGUGUGUAAAAUACACCUGUUAGCAAGGGCCGGGCAAGACCGGUGCCAGCCGCCGCGGUAACACCGGCGGCCCGAGUGGUGAUCGUGAUUAUUGGGUCUAAAGGGUCCGUAGCCGGUUUGGUCAGUCCUCCGGGAAAUCUGAUAGCUCAACUAUUAGGCUAUCGGGGGAUACUACCAGACUUGGAACCGGGAGAGGUAAGAGGUACUACAGGGGUAGGAGUGAAAUCUUGUAAUCCCUGUGGGACCACCUGUGGCGAAGGCGUCUUACCAGAACGGGUUCGACGGUGAGGGACGAAAGCUGGGGGCACGAACCGGAUUAGAUACCCGGGUAGUCCCAGCCGUAACGAUGCUCGCUAGGUGUCAGGCAUGGCGCGACCGUGUCUGGUGCCGCAGGGAAGCCGUGAAGCGAGCCACCUGGGAAGUACGGCCGCAAGGCUGAAACUUAAAGGAAUUGGCGGGGGAGCA